RNAcentral lists this ribosomal RNA (253 nucleotides) under uncultured bacterium. Its description in RNAcentral is "partial 16S ribosomal RNA". It matches the Rfam family "Bacterial small subunit ribosomal RNA", at positions 524 to 776 of the family's 1533-position model. The record is from RNAcentral.
UACGUAGGUGGCAAGCGUUGUCCGGAAUUAUUGGGCGGAAAGCGCGCGCAGGCGGUCCUUUAAGUCUGAUGUGAAAGCCCACGGCUCAACCGUGGAGGGUCAUUGGAAACUGGGGGACUUGAGUGCAGAAGAGGAGAGUGGAAUUCCACGUGUAGCGGUGAAAUGCGUAGAGAUGUGGAGGAACACCAGUGGCGAAGGCGACUCUCUGGUCUGUAACUGACGCUGAGGCGCGAAAGCGUGGGGAGCAAACAGG